RNAcentral lists this ribosomal RNA (253 nucleotides) under uncultured prokaryote. RNAcentral describes it as "partial 16S ribosomal RNA". It matches the Rfam family "Bacterial small subunit ribosomal RNA", at positions 525 to 777 of the family's 1533-position model. The record is from RNAcentral.
ACGAACCGUGCGAACGUUGUUCGGAAUCACUGGGCUUAAAGGGCGCGUAGGCGGGCUAUCAAGUCCGGGGUGAAAUCCUCCAGCUUAACUGGAGAACUGCCUCGGAUACUGAUGGUCUCGAGGAGGAUAGGGGCACACGGAACUGUGGGUGGAGCGGUGAAAUGCGUUGAUAUCCAUAGGAACUCCGGUGGCGAAAGCGGUGUGCUGGAUCCUUUCUGACGCUGAGGCGCGAAAGCCAGGGGAGCAAACGGGA